This 66-nucleotide transfer RNA is filed under the name Hydrochus carinatus. Its description in RNAcentral is "tRNA-Ser". The record is from RNAcentral. Lineage: Eukaryota; Metazoa; Arthropoda; Insecta; Coleoptera; Hydrochidae.
GAAAUAUGUCAUCAAAAUUAAGCUUCUAACUUAAAUUUUUAGCGGUGAAAUUCCGUUAAUAUUUCU